AUACGUAGGGGGCAAGCGUUGUCCGGAAUCAUUGGGCGUAAAGAGCGCGUAGGCGGUCCGGUAAGUCGGUUGUGAAAACUGGGGGCUCAACCCUCAGAGGCCGACCGAUACUGCCGGGCUAGAGUCCGGAAGAGGCGAGUGGAAUUCCUGGUGUAGCGGUGAAAUGCGCAGAUAUCAGGAGGAACACCAAUGGCGAAGGCAGCUCGCUGGGACGGUACUGACGCUGAGGCGCGAAAGCGUGGGGAGCAAACA
Molecule: ribosomal RNA, 252 nt
Filed under: uncultured prokaryote
Description: partial 16S ribosomal RNA
Rfam family: Bacterial small subunit ribosomal RNA
Source: RNAcentral